GAUGAAGAACGUAGCGAAAUGCGAUACGUAAUGUGAAUUGCAGAAUUCAGUGAAUCAUCGAGUCUUUGAACGCACAUUGCGCCCCCUGGUAUUCCGGGGGGCAUGCCUGUCCGAGCGUCAUUGCUGCCCUCAAGCACGGCUUGUGUGUUGGGCCUCCGUCCUCCUCCCGGGGGACGGGCCCGAAAGGCAGCGCCGGCACCGCGUCCGGUCCUCGAGCGUAUGGGGCUUCGUCACCCGCUCUUGUAGGCCCGGCCGGCGCUUGCCGACACAUCAAUCUUUUUUCCAGGUUGACCUCGGAUCAGGUAGGGAUACCCGCUGAACUUAAGCAUAUCAAUAAGCGGAGGA
Molecule: unclassified non-coding RNA, 345 nt
Filed under: soil metagenome
Description: partial contains 5.8S ribosomal RNA, internal transcribed spacer 2, and large subunit ribosomal RNA
Rfam family: 5.8S ribosomal RNA (bases 1-120)
Source: RNAcentral